CAGCCGCCACGGGAAUACAGAGGGUGCAAGCGUUAAUCGGAAUUACUGGGCGUAAAGCGCGCGUAGGUGGUUUGUUAAGUUGGAUGUGAAAGCCCCGGGCUCAACCUGGGAACUGCAUCCAAAACUGGCAAGCUAGAGUACGGUAGAGGGUGGUGGAAUUUCCUGUGUAGCGGUGAAAUGCGUAGAUAUAGGAAGGAACACCAGUGGCGAAGGCGACCACCUGGACUGAUACUGACACUGAGGUGCGAAAGCGUGGGGAGCAAACAGGAUUAGAUACCCCAGUAGUCCCUGUCUCUUAUAC
This 301-nucleotide ribosomal RNA is filed under the name uncultured bacterium. Its description in RNAcentral is "partial 16S ribosomal RNA". It matches the Rfam family "Bacterial small subunit ribosomal RNA", at positions 509 to 807 of the family's 1533-position model. The record is from RNAcentral.